Long non-coding RNA from Ostrea edulis (European flat oyster), 605 nucleotides. RefSeq lists it as uncharacterized. The transcript is spliced from 3 exons. The record is from RefSeq and is a predicted model, not a curated record. NCBI's taxonomy places the organism in Eukaryota, Metazoa, Mollusca, Bivalvia, Ostreida, Ostreidae.
AACUUUGUGUCCUUUUUUUUUUUUUUUUUUUACUUUUUACAAACAUCCAUGUCUUCCAUCAAGCGAUUUGUUUUCUGAAUAAUCGUCUUUUUAGAGUGUGAUACAGGAUAUGCAGGACUCAACUGUUCUGAUCACUGUCCCCACGGCGUGUUUGGAAGAGAAUGCCAAUCAGUAUGUCCACAAAAUUGCAAGGAUUGUCACCAUAUUACUGGGGAAUGUCUAACAGAUCAAAAUGAGUGUGAUCCGGGAUUCAGGGGACCCAACUGUUCUGAACAUUGUCCUCGCGGCGUUUUUGGACGAGAAUGUCAAUCAGCAUGUCCACGGGAGUGCAAGGAUUGUGACCAUAUUACUGGGGAAUGUCUAACAGAACAAAGGGGCAUGAACGGGGAUUUGAACCGAAGAUCUUCCGGUCACGAAGCUUUAACCACUCAUUCAUCGCGAUGGGUUGAUCCACCACGACAAAACCCGGACUUGAUUUGAACCUGGUCAGUAGGAGGAGACAGUUAAUUUUAUAUCCGGACACUUUAAAACGCUUCGAAAAAGUUGAGAAGUAGUGCUGGCUAUGUUUUCCAUUCGUUGUGUCAUAUUUCGAUUUUAAGAAAAUA